CAGAAGAAGCACCGGCUAACUACGUGCCAGCAGCCGCGGUAAUACGUAGGGUGCGAGCGUUAUCCGGAAUUAUUGGGCGUAAAGAGCUCGUAGGCGGUUUGUCGCGUCUGUCGUGAAAGUCCGGGGCUUAACCCCGGAUCUGCGGUGGGUACGGGCAGACUAGAGUGCAGUAGGGGAGACUGGAAUUCCUGGUGUAGCGGUGGAAUGCGCAGAUAUCAGGAGGAACACCGAUGGCGAAGGCAGGUCUCUGGGCUGUAACUGACGCUGAGGAGCGAAAGCAUGGGGAGCGAACAGGAUUAGAUACCCUGGUAGUCCAUGCCGUAAACGUUGGGCACUAGGUGUGGGGACCAUUCCACGGUUUCCGCGCCGCAGCUAACGCAUUAAGUGCCCCGCCUGGGGAGUACGGCCGCAAGGCUAAAACUCAAAGGAAUUGACGGGGGCCCGCACAAGCGGCGGAGCAUGCGGAUUAAUUCGAUGCAACGCGAAGAACCUUACCAAGGCUUGACAUGUUCUCGAUCGCCGUAGAGAUACGGUUUCCCCUUUGGGGCGGGUUCACAGGUGGUGCAUGGUUGUCGUCAGCUCGUGUCGUGAGAUGUUGGGUUAAGUCCCGCAACGAGCGCAACCCUCGUUCCAUGUUGCCAGCACGUCGUGGUGGGGACUCAUGGGAGACUGCCGGGGUCAACUCGGAGGAAGGUGAGGACGACGUCAAAUCAUCAUGCCCCUUAUGUCUUGGGCUUCACGCAUGCUACAAUGGCCGGUACAAUGGGUUGCGAUACUGUGAGGUGGAGCUAAUCCCAAAAAGCCGGUCUCAGUUCGGAUUGGGGUCUGCAACUCGACCCCAUGAAGUCGGAGUCGCUAGUAAUCGCAGAUCAGCAACGCUGCGGUGAAUACGUUCCCGGGCCUUGUACACACCGCCCGUCAAGUCACGAAAGUUGGUAACACCCGAAGCCGGUG
This 954-nucleotide ribosomal RNA is filed under the name Micrococcus sp. Its description in RNAcentral is "bacterial SSU rRNA". It matches the Rfam family "Bacterial small subunit ribosomal RNA", at positions 482 to 1432 of the family's 1533-position model. The record is from RNAcentral. Lineage: Bacteria; Bacillati; Actinomycetota; Actinomycetes; Micrococcales; Micrococcaceae.